AUUGAACGCUGGCGGCAGGCUUAACACAUGCAAGUCGAGCGGUAGCACAGGGGAGCUUGCUCCCUGGGUGACGAGCGGCGGACGGGUGAGUAAUGUCUGGGAAACUGCCUGAUGGAGGGGGAUAACUACUGGAAACGGUAGCUAAUACCGCAUAACGUCGCAAGACCAAAGAGGGGGACCUUCGGGCCUCUUGCCAUCAGAUGUGCCCAGAUGGGAUUAGCUAGUAGGUGGGGUAAUGGCUCACCUAGGCGACGAUCCCUAGCUGGUCUGAGAGGAUGACCAGCCACACUGGAACUGAGACACGGUCCAGACUCCUACGGGAGGCAGCAGUGGGGAAUAUUGCACAAUGGGCGAAAGUCUGAUGCAGCCAUGCCGCGUGUGUGAAGAAGGCCUUCGGGUUGUAAAGCACUUUCAGCGAGGAGGAAGGUGGUGAGCUUAAUACGUUCAUCAAUUGACGUUACUCGCAGAAGAAGCACCGGCUAACUCCGUG
Molecule: ribosomal RNA, 490 nt
Filed under: uncultured bacterium
Lineage: Bacteria
Description: partial 16S ribosomal RNA
Rfam family: Bacterial small subunit ribosomal RNA
Source: RNAcentral